Molecule: long non-coding RNA, 1869 nt
Organism: Herpailurus yagouaroundi (jaguarundi)
Lineage: Eukaryota; Metazoa; Chordata; Mammalia; Carnivora; Felidae
Exons: 5
Source: RefSeq, a predicted model, not a curated record
GUAACUUCUCUAAGGUUACACAGCUAGACACCAGAGCCAGGUUUUCAGCUACUUGUCCGUCUGACUCCAGAACCUUCCGUUGUGGUUUGUGUUAUUUAUUUUGGCUACGGCUCCUAGAGCUCUCUGUGGCAUAUGUUUUUUAGAUCGAGGGGCAACGUGCUAGUGUGAAGUAUACAUCUCGACAACUCUUUGCAUGUGUGCACGCCCAUGUAACCACCACCCAGAGUAAGAUACAUUUCCAGAAGAUUCCUCAUGCCCCUUCCAGGUACUCGCUAUUCUGACCUCUAUCAGCAUUGAUCAGUUUUUCCUGGGAGGAGCGGCGUGGAACCACUUCUCUCGCUGAGGCAAGAAGGAAGACAGGAGGAUUUCCGUGUGGGGAGGAGCUGCUCACGGCAACAUCGGAGGGGGAGCCUCCACAGGCAGUGGGGAGGGAGCGUUCAUAUGGCGCACGGUCCCACCGGGUCUCCGCACGCUACCGUGAGGUAGGCAGCGAAGCGAGGAGAGUUUGAAUCGGAUGCAGAAAGCCAUGUGCCCAAAGCGACACGGCAAGUUAGUGGUGGAUCCGGAGGCCUGGAGUCUCCUGGCGUCUUGAUGAGAAAAUGGAGCUCCUGAGAGCAGAAGUGUGUGGUCGCACAAAUGGGAAGUCAGGACCUCCAUAUGUGAGAAUAGAGGCUCUUGCUAAGCCAUCCUGCUGGGCUGAGCACGAACUUCUUACAGAAGCCUGACAUAUACACAAAACUGAGAGUUUAGCUGGUGAAUUUUCACAAAGUAAUCAGACUCCUGAAGCCAGUGCCGGAUCAACAGGACACUGCCAGCCCCUCAGAAGCCCCUUCACAGCCCCCAAAGAGGAGCCAUCACCCUGACUUCUAACAUCACAGUUCUGGCUCAAGAUGGUGACGUAGAAGGAUCCUGAACUCGCCUCCUCCCAGACACUGGAUAUACUAGAUAUGCAGCUACUUACAGAACAAUUAGCUGAAUGACUCCCACACAUCAGGCGAAGGAGAAAAAAACCCACAUCAAAGCAGGUAGGAGAGGCUGAGACACAUUCUCGCCACAAACCUCCCCCCUAGUGGGGAGACUCACAAUUGGGAGGGAACGCAAAAACUCUGAGCUUCUCCCUGAGGAGUGAGGGGUUUGAACUCUGCAUCUGGUACCCCAACUUUGAAGACCUGCCCCUGAAGUACCUUUAUUGCCUCCUUGGGAGGAGCCGGGAGCUGGGGCACCAGGACAGCUGGACAGAUAAACGUACAGCAACAGGACAGGUGGGGCCCAGGGUCGGGGGUCUCCUCCCUGCCCUUUAUCUGGCCUGGGCAGCCAGAGGUCACGGUCAGGGCUCUCUAUCACUCCCUCAGGCCUUCUCCCAGCGUCUCCCUGUCCAGGACCCUUCAAGCAGACACCCAGCAAAGUGCUGUCCAAAAGCACCAGGACUGGUUUGGCAAACAGAAUCUGCUCCAACCUGUCCACCAGGAAGCCCUCAGGUGUUCCUAUCUUUACUGUACGGAGAUAAUCAUACAUGUGCACAGAGGUGUGUGGACAGAGAUGUUCAUCACAGCAUUGUUUCUAACAGGGGAAAACUAGAAAGAACCCAAGUGCCCAGCAUGGAGGGACUGGUUACCAUACAACAGAACGCAGUGGAGGAAUCUGACGCAGGCCUUAGAGCUCCCGCACCCCUGCUGGCCACCGUGCUGUCCCCCACCACCCAGACACCCCCUGGUUGCAUCUUACCAUCUAAGCGCACUAAACUCCUUAUGGUCCCCAAAUCCCCCCCACAUUUCUGUCUUCUCAGAGGUUCCCACUUGCUGUUUCCUCUGCCUGCAAUGCCACUUCUUCUUUUUUUAAGAUAUUUUUUAAUCUAUGUUUAUUUUUUGA